This 29-nucleotide non-coding RNA is filed under the name Bombyx mori (domestic silkworm). The record is from RNAcentral. RNAcentral also lists the same sequence under 1 other name. Lineage: Eukaryota; Metazoa; Arthropoda; Insecta; Lepidoptera; Bombycidae.
UGAUUUAUCAACGCAGACGUGACAAUUUC